Non-coding RNA from Arachis ipaensis, 153 nucleotides. Lineage: Eukaryota; Viridiplantae; Streptophyta; Magnoliopsida; Fabales; Fabaceae. The record is from RefSeq and is a predicted model, not a curated record.
UGUUUACAGAUUCAAAGGAUGAGUUCAUAAAUAGUGGCUAACUGAGCUGUAAGAAAGCUUAGCAUUAAAUUGAAGAUUAAUGCAUGCUCUAUAUCUUGAUUCUCUCUUGGCAAUAGUUAUUCAAAGUCACCCUUGUCAAAAGUGUAACUUGUA